GGACGAAGAACGUAGCGAAAUGCGAUAAGUAGUGUGAAUUGCAGAAUUCAGUGAAUCAUCGAAUCUUUGAACGCACAUUGCGCCUUCUAGUAUUCUGGGAGGCAUGCCUGUUUGAGCGUCAUUAAACCUCUCUCAAGUAUGAUUACUUGGAUGUGAAGGAAGAGUACCUUAAACUUAAGGAGUGUUCUCCUUUGAAAUUGAUUAGCAGAUGGUAAUGUUAUUAAAUCCCUGAUGUUGUAAGAAAUAACAGUGGUUUUGUAGACUAUUAUCUAGCUUUAAAUUAUAAUUUUUAUUAUGGUUGACCUCAAAUCAGGUAAGGAUACCCGCUGAACUUAAGCAUAUCAAUAAGCGGAGGA
RNAcentral lists this unclassified non-coding RNA (356 nucleotides) under soil metagenome. Its description in RNAcentral is "partial contains 5.8S ribosomal RNA, internal transcribed spacer 2, and large subunit ribosomal RNA". The stretch from base 2 to 121 matches the Rfam family "5.8S ribosomal RNA", at positions 35 to 154 of the family's 154-position model. The record is from RNAcentral.